Molecule: small nuclear RNA, 84 nt
Filed under: Sus scrofa (pig)
Lineage: Eukaryota; Metazoa; Chordata; Mammalia; Artiodactyla; Suidae
Description: U4 spliceosomal RNA (ENSSSCG00070027821.1)
Rfam family: U4 spliceosomal RNA
About the family: U4 small nuclear RNA (U4 snRNA) is a component of the major U2-dependent spliceosome. The structure of U4 snRNA from yeast and human has been reported.
Source: RNAcentral
AGCUUUGUGCACUGGCAAUAUUGUAGCCAAUGAGGUUUAUUUGAGGUGCAAUUAUUGCUAAUUGGAUAUUAACUCCUACAUAAC